GACGAACGCUGGCGGCGUGCUUAACACAUGCAAGUCGAACGGAAAGGCCCUGCUUUUGUGGGGUGCUCGAGUGGCGAACGGGUGAGUAACACGUGAGUAACCUGCCCUUGACUUUGGGAUAACUUCAGGAAACUGGGGCUAAUACCGGAUAGGAGCUCCUGCUGCAUGGUGGGGGUUGGAAAGUUUCGGCGGUUGGGGAUGGACUCGCGGCUUAUCAGCUUGUUGGUGGGGUAGUGGCUUACCAAGGCUUUGACGGGUAGCCGGCCUGAGAGGGUGACCGGGACCGUUGGGAGUGAGAGAUGGGAGAGGGAGCUACAGGGAGCAGGGCGGGGGGCGGUGGAAGGUGUGGCGGUAGAGAGAUGUAGCAACGACGGGUAGGGGGGGGAGUACUUGGGGUUGUAAAACGCUCUCGCAUGUGACAGAGGGUGGGUGCCGGUGGGGGAUACCAAAAGACCAGCUGAGUCCCUG
This 468-nucleotide ribosomal RNA is filed under the name uncultured bacterium. RNAcentral describes it as "partial 16S ribosomal RNA". The stretch from base 20 to 329 matches the Rfam family "Bacterial small subunit ribosomal RNA", at positions 47 to 358 of the family's 1533-position model. The record is from RNAcentral.